AGUGAACGCUGGCGGUAGGCCUAACACAUGCAAGUCGAACGGCAGCACAGAGGAGCUUGCUCCCUGGGUGGCGAGUGGCGGACGGGUGAGGAAUACAUCGGAAUCUACUCUGUCGUGGGGGAUAACGUAGGGAAACUUACGCUAAUACCGCAUACGACCUACGGGUGAAAGCAGGGGAUCUUCGGGCCUUGCGCGAUUGAAUGAGCCGAUGUCGGAUUAGAUAGUUGGCGGGGUAAAGGCCCACCAAGGCGACGAUCCGUAGCUGGUCUGAGAGGAUGAUCAGCCACACUGGAACUGAGACACGGUCCAGACUCCUACGGGAGGCAGCAGUGGGGAAUAUUGGACAAUGGGCGCAAGCCUGAUCCAGCCAUACCGCGUGGGUGAAGAAGGCCUUCGGGUUGUAAAGCCCUUUUGUUGGGAAAGAAAUCCAGCUGGCUAAUACCCGGUUGGGAUGACGGUACCCAGAGAAUAAGCACCGGCUAACUUCGUGCCAGCCGCCGCAGUAA
RNAcentral lists this ribosomal RNA (506 nucleotides) under uncultured bacterium. RNAcentral describes it as "partial 16S ribosomal RNA". It matches the Rfam family "Bacterial small subunit ribosomal RNA", at positions 29 to 523 of the family's 1533-position model. The record is from RNAcentral.